This 69-nucleotide transfer RNA is filed under the name Malacoptila fusca (white-chested puffbird). RNAcentral's name for it is "tRNA-His". It matches the Rfam family "tRNA". From Rfam's summary of the family: Transfer RNA (tRNA) molecules are approximately 80 nucleotides in length. Their secondary structure includes four short double-helical elements and three loops (D, anti-codon, and T loops). Lineage: Eukaryota; Metazoa; Chordata; Aves; Piciformes; Bucconidae. The record is from RNAcentral.
GUAAGCAUAGUUUAACCAAAACAUUAGGUUGUGAUCCUAAAGACAGAAGCUCAACCCUUCUUGCCUACC